CCCUUAGAUGUCCUGGGCCGCACGCGCGCUACACUGAGUGUCUGAGAUACGAGUCUGCCUGGUCCGGCAAGGUCUAGGUAAUCGCUAAAAGACACAUCAUGCUUGGGAUAGAUUAUUGCAAAUAUUAAUCUUGAACGAGGAAUUCCUAGUAAGCGCAAGUCAACAGCUUGCGUUGAUUACGUCCCUGCCCUUUGUACACACCGCCCGUCGCUACUACUGAUUGGAUGUUUAAGCGAGGUUCUCGAACUGCUAGCGACUUAGCUUCGGUGAGGUCGCAGUGUGGGAAGUGAACCUAGCUUUGGUGUCUAGAGGAGUAAAAGUCGUAACA
This 328-nucleotide ribosomal RNA is filed under the name uncultured eukaryote. RNAcentral describes it as "partial 18S ribosomal RNA". It matches the Rfam family "Eukaryotic small subunit ribosomal RNA", at positions 1470 to 1796 of the family's 1831-position model. The record is from RNAcentral.